This is a long non-coding RNA of Canis lupus familiaris (dog), 516 nucleotides long. RefSeq lists it as uncharacterized. NCBI's taxonomy places the organism in Eukaryota, Metazoa, Chordata, Mammalia, Carnivora, Canidae. The transcript is spliced from 4 exons. The record is from RefSeq and is a predicted model, not a curated record.
GUCACAAAACAUACUGGCAUUCUAAUCUAGAAGCCAACUUUCAAACAGUGUUUCUUUCUUCCAGGUGUUGAAAGCUUCCCCUCUUGAAGGAAGACAUUAUGAGGAAGAGACUUUAUAAACCAGAAUUGGGAAAUAAUGCCCUUCAGCUUUGACUAAGAAAGUUGGCUGAGCCCCUUAGACUCCUACUCCUUCAUUCCAAUUCUUACACUGAUGGGACUUGGACAAACAAGCUGGUUCCAGUGAGUUUCAUCAUUGUAUUCAAAUUUCUAGCUAAAGAAGACCAAGCCAAGAUGAGAGCAAGAUUUGUAGAACAGAGGGACUUUGUCUGAGAUUGCUCUGUCAUUAAAGAGAGAGCGGGUACCUGACCUGAAACCACAGCCUAUCCUCUCAGAAACUAUCCUCCUGAGAUGCCUGGGUGGCUCCGUGGUUGAGCAUCUGCCUUUGGCUCAGGGUGUGAUCCCAGAGUCCUGGGAUGGAGUCCCACAUCAGGCUCCCUGCAUGGAGCCUAUUUCUCUC